GACCUGGUCAGGAUGAACGCUAGCGGCAGGCUUAACACAUGCAAGUCGAGGGGCAGCAUAAUGGAUAGCAAUAUCUAUGGUGGCGACCGGCGCACGGGUGCGUAACGCGUAUGCAACCUACCUUUAACAGGGGGAUAACACUGAGAAAUUGGUACUAAUACCCCAUAAUAUCAUAGAAGGCAUCUUUUAUGGUUGAAAAUUCCGAUGGUUAGAGAUGGGCAUGCGUUGUAUUAG
This 234-nucleotide ribosomal RNA is filed under the name uncultured bacterium. RNAcentral describes it as "partial 16S ribosomal RNA". It matches the Rfam family "Bacterial small subunit ribosomal RNA", at positions 17 to 244 of the family's 1533-position model. The record is from RNAcentral.